CUUAGCUAAACUUCAACUCAACCUCUCCCAAUCCUCUAUUCUUCAUUUGUGACCCUUAGACCAUGCCAUUAUAUGCUUCUCUUGAGUCCUCAAGUGGUCCACCAAUGGUUUUUUGCUACUGUUGCUUAGGUACUACCUUAAUGGCCUUUAGGUAUUACCUUAGUGGCCUUCAGGUACUACCUAACUAAACUUCAACUCAACAUCUCCCAAGCCUCGGGUCUUCCUUUGUCACCCUUAGACCAUGCCAUUAUAUGCUUCUCUUGAGUCCUCAAGUGGUCCACCAAUGGUUUUUUGCUACUGUUGCUUAGGUACUACCUUAAUGGCCUUUAGGUACUACCUUAGUGGCCUUCAGGUACUACCUUAAGGGACCCUAGGUACUACCUUAGCUAAACUUCAACUCAACA
RNAcentral lists this long non-coding RNA (404 nucleotides) under Vitis vinifera (wine grape). Its description in RNAcentral is "long non-coding RNA (VVIN_LNC003511)". Lineage: Eukaryota; Viridiplantae; Streptophyta; Magnoliopsida; Vitales; Vitaceae. The record is from RNAcentral.